CACACACACACACACACACACACACACACACCACUACCAUGACCACCAUGACCACCACUAUGACCAUGGCCACCACCAUGACCACAAGGACCACAACGACUACCACCACCACCACCAGACCACUACAGUCAUGACCACGACUACCACCACCACCAGACCAUCACAACCAUGACCACGACCACAACCACCGCCACCACCACCACCGGACUACCAUGACCAUGACCAAGAGCACGAUCACAACCAGCAGCAGCAGCAGCUGACACUCCUCUAAGUCUGCCACAAGGCCUGGAAUUCUUUUGAGAAUGAAGCUGAGGCAUGAGGAGGUAAAGUGAUUUGUCCAAGAACACACAAGGAAGCAUAAGAGAAAAGUGACUCACUGGGCUUCUUGAGGCAGGAGUAAGACAAUGACGUUCCCAGCUGAGCAGAGGAUCUUAGGUUGACUUUGUCCUGGAACAUGCACAAGUUUUGCUGGCUGCAAAACGAACAAUAUUCUCUAGGGGCUUCCAUGCUGUGUGAAGAAGCUUCCCAUUGAAGUCCAGUCCGUCCCCCUCAACUCAUCUUUCUUCCUCUUGCCCCUGUACGCACUUUUAUGUGCUUUGCUGCUUUGUCCCAGUGUUUUCAAAGCAACCUCCUUCUGUGUGCUUUUGUUAAACAUUCAGAAGAAAUUGUUGUAAGACCCCAUCAUAAAGGCACCUUCAGAACCAUUCUAGCAGCUUCCCAAUGUGUCAAAUAUGCAGACAUUUUCAUAGAGAGAACAAUACUUCAGAAAUAGUCAUGAACCUUGAUAUAUCUCAAGAGGCCUGCUUUGCAUGCAGAGAGCCCAUACUUUAACAGAAAAGUAGUCUCAACAUGGAUUGAAUAAUGGGACUAAAUUUCAUAUUGUAUAAGAGGGAAAGGCCAGAAUCAAUGGAAAAACUUGAAUUUGACAACCUAUCUCAGGAGAAGAGGAAAUGGAACCCCAGAUGACUUCGGGGAAUGGUGUGGAACUUUUCAGUCAAGCUCAAAAGGGAGCAGUUGGAAAACUGGAAGAGGUUCUUUGCUCCUGGAGCAGAGGGGAGAAGGAACUGACCCUCUGCUAUGAAGAUACCCAUUUUCUCAAUCCUUUUGCUUGAGCCGUAGAAGAGCUUAUAUUUCAACUGGUGACACUUUUAGGAUAAAGACUUUUGUCCCUUUGGAGAACCUCAGAGUUUAUCCUGAAGAAGACCCUGGUUCAAAUUCCCCAGAUCUGUACAGGAAAUAGCUAGGGAUUUCCUUUUUCCUCUGUCCUCAUUACUCUUUCAACCCUUUAUACCUAAAUAAAUAGAUAAAUCUUGAUUUUAA
Long non-coding RNA from Monodelphis domestica (gray short-tailed opossum), 1320 nucleotides. RefSeq lists it as uncharacterized. The record is from RefSeq and is a predicted model, not a curated record. Lineage: Eukaryota; Metazoa; Chordata; Mammalia; Didelphimorphia; Didelphidae.